This 923-nucleotide long non-coding RNA is filed under the name Phoenix dactylifera (date palm). Its description in RNAcentral is "long non-coding RNA (PDAC_LNC003208)". Lineage: Eukaryota; Viridiplantae; Streptophyta; Magnoliopsida; Arecales; Arecaceae. The record is from RNAcentral.
CAAAAGAGAGCUACACCACAAAUGUCCGCAUUGUUAUUCAAAACUUACUGCAUGUGUGCAAUCUUUUGCAAAAGAGCUGAUUUAUUUGCUUCCUAACAUCAAUUCUUUGUUCCUUCUCAUUGGACAGGAAAAAAGCAAGUUCGCUGCCUUGUUGCAGCUCUGUUCACACUCGUCCACCAAAAUUGUAUAAAAUAGAUCAGUAAUAGUUUUCUUAACAGAUUACAGCACAAGGAAAGACCAAAACCUGGAUGGAAAUUUAGCAACGACGACGUCCUCCGUGAUGUGCCAUCUGACCCAUAUCCACUCACAGGCUUCUCAAAGCCAAAGCAGAGGCGGUUUGAAUCCCUGGAGGUGGCACAGCCUAUUAGCCAGGUCUUCUCCACUGCACACCUUGUGCGUCCGGUGACUCGCACCGUUGUCCAUUCCUCAACUUUUUUUCCAAAAUGCAUACUGCACCUGUGCCUAGUGUAAGCCUUAGUUGAGUGAUCUGGAUCUCCAUCCAUAUGUAAUUGCUUUCAAGAGAAAGAUCCUACCUUUAAAAGGAGAGGCGUCUCAAUUGUUUUCAAGAGUUUCCUCUUCUUUUAGUUCUCCACAUCAGUGAGAAAUUCAUCAUGUUGUAGACAUUGCGAUCGAUUUAUGAUAGAUUAUGAGUCCUGUCAGGGUCUGAACUUGUGCUUUGAUCUCUAGUUCUAAAUACAGCUGCAUUGUGUAUUCAUCUUUUCACUUUGUAUUCACCCUCCCCUUGCAUGCAUACAGGCUCAUAGAUCGAAGAGCGUAGAUGUUUUCUAUAUCUUAUUGCAGGAGGUAUUAAAACAAGGCUCACGAAAGAGGAAAGUGAAUAAUAUUGGGGCAUCUGAUGGGACAUUGACUUUUUAGAGAACAAUCUCUUUUAUGUUGAGGCUUUGAGAGGUGGAGAUAUUUAC